AAACCAUGCAUAGUUGAGCUAACCUCGUAGCUCAUCGAAAUCAAACAAAGGAACUCACUUAUAAACAAGAUAAGUGUUGAGCUAGUUUCAUUUUUUACUCUCUUUUCUUAAAGCCGAGCUCAUCUCGCCAGUUCGUAGUUACAACGUAACUCGCUGAAAUACCUCGACAUCAUUGACAUCGACAUCCUAGCUAGAUGCGCGAUCCGUAAAAAACGCAUUUCCAGUAGUGCAAUUUCUUAUAAGUCCCAAGGAACAAAAACCUUAUGACUAUACGAAAGUAAGCCGGGCCCAGUCCCGCAUAAUCUCUUAGAUCGCACGAGUAAAAAUGCCGAACACAUCUUCGCUACUCGGAUACGAUCUAAGAAGCUAACAGGUGGACCGAGUUAAUAUUCGCACCUACAACAUACUAAACCGAGUCCUUACUCGUAAACAAAACAGGAUAAGCCGAGGUCUUACCUCGCACCUACAGAUCUAAUAAGCCGAGUUCUCACUUCGCAUUUAUUUCAGUCUGUAUCUAUAUGUUCGAUUAACCAAGUUCAAACUCGCAUUAUAUUACUCGUCAAUCUUGCAGCUAUAUAGCUCGUUGACCUCGCAUCUUUGCGGCUCCUCGUUUAUACGACCUUGCAGCUCGUCAACCUCGCAGCUUGUCGACCUCGCAGCUCGUCGACCUUGCAGUUCAUCGACCACGCAGCUUUGCGGUUCCUCGUCUAUUCGACUUUGAGCUCGUCAACCUCACAGCUCGUCAACCUCGUAGUUUCUCGAUCUUGCAGCUCAUCAACUUCGCAGCUUAUCGACCUCGCAGCUUGUCGACCUCGCAGCUCGUCGACCUCGCAGCUUGUCGACCUCGCAGUUCUUCGCAUAUCUUGCAGUUCGCCGAACUCGAGCAGCUCUCUUUCAACGAACUGGGGGGAGGGCAAUUGUUGGAGGUGGGUUUAGCACCCCCCUAUUUAGCCCAACAGGCCCAUCAAAAUCCACCAGCAUUACAAUUUUGGCCCAUUAACAAGGCCCACAAAAUCAUCCCACCGUCAUCACGUCACCUACUCGCUCACUAUAAAUAGAAGAGAGGAGGAGACCAAGAAAGAGGAUCUCGGAAAGGAGAAGAGAAAUAGCUCGUGAAGGGAUGAGAACACCCA
RNAcentral lists this long non-coding RNA (1133 nucleotides) under Eutrema salsugineum. RNAcentral's name for it is "long non-coding RNA (ESAL_LNC001715)". Lineage: Eukaryota; Viridiplantae; Streptophyta; Magnoliopsida; Brassicales; Brassicaceae. The record is from RNAcentral.